RNAcentral lists this ribosomal RNA (301 nucleotides) under uncultured bacterium. Its description in RNAcentral is "partial 16S ribosomal RNA". It matches the Rfam family "Bacterial small subunit ribosomal RNA", at positions 509 to 809 of the family's 1533-position model. The record is from RNAcentral.
CAGCAGGCGGUAAUACGAAGGGUGCAAGCGUUACUCGGAAUUACUGGGCGUAAAGCGUGCGUAGGUGGUGGUUUAAGUCCGUUGUGAAAGCCCUGGGCUCAACCUGGGAAUUGCAGUGGAUACUGGGUCACUAGAGUGUGGUAGAGGAUAGUGGAAUUUCCGGUGUAGCAGUGAAAUGCGUAGAGAUCGGAAGGAACAUCUGUGGCGAAGGCGACUAUCUGGGCCAACACUGACACUGAGGCACGAAAGCGUGGGGAGCAAACAGGAUUAGAUACCCCCGUAGUCCCUGUCUCUUAUACAC